Molecule: transfer RNA, 69 nt
Filed under: Marmota monax (woodchuck)
Lineage: Eukaryota; Metazoa; Chordata; Mammalia; Rodentia; Sciuridae
Description: tRNA.Ala
Source: RNAcentral
GGGGUUGUGGCUUAGUGGUAGAGCAAUCACCUAGCAUGAGAGGCACUGGGUUUGAUCCUCAGCACCACA